UAUUUACUACAUAACAGGAGUUCUAUACAAAAUAAAUAAAUAAUUACAUUAUAAGGAGACAACGGUCCAGCAACCCAAAGUUGACUGGGAGACGACGACCUAGACCUCUCAUGAACUCGUCACAGCAUCCUCCAUGCGCCUCAUCUUGUGGUACCUGUUCUUGACCUGUGGGGGGGUGUGAGACAGCAAGAGUGAGCUCACAUACGUUCAUCGCUCAACAAGUUGUGGGGAAUAAUGUGCAUGAACUCGCCAAAGGUGGGAGCUCACGUGAAGUGUAAGGCUUACCAAAGAGGAUGGUUAGAGUUGAGCAUUGCUUUUAAAGUUGGUCAAAAUUUUAUUAGCAGUUACUAAGUAUAAGUAAAUACCAACCCAAUUAAGAAAAGUAAUAACAUCACCUGCGAUGCAAUGCAUAUGACAAAUUGAAUUUAGUUCCAUAAAUUAAUCAUGUGAGGGUCCGAGUUGCUCAUGACCGUGAGCACGGCUAGUAUACCAGUUUUACACUCUGCAGAGGUUGCACAUCUUUACCCACAAGUCAUGUUACCCAUCUGCCAAGGGAUCGCGACUUCCCAUACACCUCUACCGAGGAGGCGAGGCAGGGUAACACUACGAGGCCUUUACAAAGUUCCACUAGCUUCAGAAAACCCGCUACAGUUUAUAGGAAGCUCCAAUGCAGGGUUCUUGCCUGACCGCCAUCGCAGCAAAAUCAACUAAGGACCUCCCUACACUGACCACUCCCCUACUGCCCUUGCCCCUUUCGGGUAAGGUAGUCCUCCACUAGCUUUCCUAAUUAAUCAGCCAAGGGCGUCCAUAAACCCUUGUGGUAGCACUGUUUUCCCGGUGGUCGCUCCAUGUUCCAAUUAACAUAAUGAUCUUAUCAUGGACAGUGAUAAUAAACAGAUAAUAAAAGUGUGAUCAUGAAUAAUGUAUCUUCAUACCCAAAACCAUAUAAAGCACUAGCAAGUACUACCCAAAAAGUUCAGUGGUAAACAAGGUAUAAAGAUAGACAAACUAGGGUAACCUAUUGGGUCCCAUCAAAAUUAACCUAUGCAGAUCAUUAUGAUUAAUCAGAACAUGGCUGGGUAAAAAGAAGUGAUCAAGGGCACAACUUGCCUGGCACUUGAGAUUCUAGUUACCAGGGUGAUUCUUCAAAUCCUCGUGACCGCACUGCUAGUCGUAGCAAUACAAACAGAUAUGGUAUAGAAAAAAUUAACAUCACACCAAUCAUAAGUACAAACUGAAUAAUAAUGAUCUACGCGAUGAUACGAGAUCGUAGAUUCAAGAACCACUAGAUUCGGAGCUACGGUUAUAAAGUUAUGAUUUUCUAAAGGUUUAGGAGUCGGAUACAAAAGAAAUCAAGUGCAUAAUUUUAAUUUAUGUUUCAUAGCAAAAUAAAGUUACCGGUUAUAAACAAUAUUAUUAUGGAUUUAUUGCAACUGGAAUGCAUUAUGUUGGAGUUAAAAUAUAUUAAUUAUGCAUUUACUAAAAAAUUUUUCUAGAUUUAUUUUCACAUUUAAACCAUUUUCUAGGUUUAUCCUAAAAGAAUAUCACAUUCUUGGGCUGCGGGUAAAACUACAGAGAAGUUCAGGACUAAAUUAAUUAAAUCUAGGACCUAAAUGUAUUAAUCUUUACGCCCUACAUGGACAGCGGGUUAGUUUCGCUAUUUUUCAUGGACUCUUGGAAAACCGGCUUGCUGCUAAAAUCACGAGGAUAUUCCAAGCCGUCCGAUUCACAACCAGCGAUCUGGAUUAGAAGACCCACGUGCCGAACAGGUACACAACGCCUGCCUUUGGAUCAUAGAUCGAUGGUCCGAAAUCCAUCGUGAACUACUGUAUUACUAGCCAUCCGAUAUAAAUCCCACGGUGACUGCCCCGCCUUCGACCUCACCACCAACAGCACGCAAACAAAACUCGCACUCCUUCUCUAUCGUCUGCUAAACCUAGAGCGACGGCUGACUCAGCGGCAUCCUGCCCGGCUACGGUACCGCGCCAGCGCUCCAGGCCAUUAGCCUAUGCUCGAAAAGCAGAGGAAGAUAUCCCGCCAGAGGAGAUGCUCACCGCUGAUGAAGCGAACUGGUUGACGACGAUGCGUAGGCCCACGUCGAGGUGCAGGCACAACGGUCACAGCGAGCUCCGGCACCUGUGGCCACCACCGGUGGAGGGAAGAUCCACGCGCCAGAUGCCUGAUCUCGUGCUGGCGCAUGCGCAAGCAGUCUCCCUCGCAAAUUCCCUAGAAGGCGAGCGAUGCGUGGAACUCAGCUCCUACCCGGGCAUCCUUGCGGCAAUGGUGAGGGGCGGUUAUGGGGAGGAGUAGUUUUAUACCCAGAGCUGGGAUCCGAUCGGCUAGCGCCGAGCUGGCACAUGGGAAAGAUUUGUUCCAAGUUUGUUGCGAUGAAACUGGAAUGGAUAUCUACUGAGGCGGCGCUAGGAUCUCCUCUACGGUCGGCCAUACGGUUGCCAUACCAGAAGGGCCCAACUGCUAGUGAGUACGGGGUUUCACAACUGACCUCAUCCCUGACGCCACGAUGACGUCAGCACGACGGAAAUGAAUAAAGAAUGCGGUGUACGUGGGUGGUUCUGCGUGAGUGAGGUGACCGACGUGACUCUGGCUUAGACUACGGUUAUCGCUAAUUAUCAUUUAAAUAUUCCUAAGGUUUUAGCUUUUGAUUUAAAUUUUCUUUUCUAGUUUGGGUUCACGCCAUUUAAUGCAACAGUCAAAAAGUCUCGGCAUGUGCUACCCAUUUGAUUCAUAGUUUAUGUAAUUACUACUUAUUUUAAUUGAGUACGGAUCUUAUGGUUAUUCGUAGAAUAAAUGUCGAGUCACAUAACAAAUUACCCAACUUAUGAAUCUGCUACGCUCACAAAAUGAAAAUUACUCUUUUGAAUGUAUAGUACAUUUAAAGUUUGGUUCAUAUUUAUCCAAAGAGGGGACUGUGCAGUGUAUAAUUGUUACCAAGGUAUCUUUUUAACUUAAUUCUUUUGGGGAAAUAUUUCUAACCAUAUGAUUCAACAAAGGUGGGUUUUAAUCAUAUAGGAUCGUUUAUUUAAUCUCUUAUUAUAAAAGACUUUAUUCAAACCUGGGAAUACAAAUUCCUAAAUCUCAAUGUAGGAUUUUGGGCUUUACAAAUCCUACCCCCCUUAAAAAUAAUCUCGUCCUCGAGAUUUGUAAGAAAAGAGAUGCAGAAGGAUUGGUUUGUAAUUCAGCUUUUAGUCUAUCGUCAUUCCAAAAGUCGAGAGUCUCAAAAAAAUUCUUUGUGGGUGAUUAGAAGAGCAUAGGUAUAUGUAGGUAUAGCCACGUUAUUAUAUAGGCUAAAAGAGGGGUAGUUUAGAGCAAGAAUAGCCUCAGGUAAGAAAGUUUAUGGUGGGAAAGAACUCCGUGUUGAGUGGUAAGGCAUCUGAAGAUUGAGUUUGACUUCUCUCCUUCCUUGACGAGGUUGAUCUUGUCCUUUUUUUCUUGGUCUCAUUGAUUCGAGGUUAGUGUACAUCAUCAGAGUUACCGGAGUAUGGUUGAAGAUAGAUAUGGGUGAGAUGGACUACAUGAUGUAGGUUAAAGUUUGUUUGAUGUUAGGUGGGGAUAGACAGAUUAUGCAAUUCUUCAUGACUCUAUUGGUUGGGUAAGUUAUGUAACUUGUUAUAUAGGUCAAGUUGUUGUGUAUGGCCAAGUCGAUCUAAGUCACCAAUUUAGGCUUAAGUGAAUUAGGAGUAUGGCCAUAUCCUUUGUACUAGCAUUAAGUAACUUACUCUAGAUUAGAUCAUGAUAGAUUAGAUAGAAUCCAGAUUAGGUUGGUACAACUAGAUUAAACUAGUUAUGAUCUCAUUAUUUUGGAUUAGGUCCUGGUGGUUACUUUAGGAUCAGAUAAAUAUAGUGGUUAGGAUAAAACGAAUCUUUCAUGAUGAGAUGAAUUCAUUAAGAUAAGAGAGAAUCUUUUAAGAUAAGAUGGAUCUACUAAAAUAUGAUAGAUCUUUUUAAGAUGAGAUGGAUAUUGUUAGGCUAGAUACUUUAUUGAGGGAUAAUCUAGUUUGUCUAGUUAGUUUUAUAAGCAUUAUGUAUAUGCAGAUGUAAUUGUGGAUAUUACUCCACAACUCAUCACACUCAAUCAAAGAUCCAAAUCAGACAUGUAUCAUAAGAACAAAACAUUCAAAUUCAUAGAUAUCUAUAAAAAUAGUUUUAUUUUUGUUCCUAAGAGUAGGUCUCCUAUUCCAAAAAUUCACUUUAACCACAGGAUUCCAAAGUGUGAAAUCCAAGUUUGUCUUUAGAAGUGAAAAGGUAAGAAUAAUCAGAGUAAAGCGGAAAUAGAUGAGAAAAGAUUAAGAAAAGUUUAGAAAAGAAUCAGAGUAGCAAAGGUAAGUAGACAAUGGUUGUCCAGUUCUAUCUAGGUUUCGUCCUACAGUCAACAUUCCUCUGAUACCACUUCUGUCACACCCGGGUUUUAGGGCACCAAGACCCGGGCGCGAACAUAAUCACCAGGUGCGCUGGGACCAAGUCUCACACAUAUGAUGAAUCAUGGCACAGGAUCGAAUGUCACAUAUUUACUACAUAACAGGAGUUCUAUACAAAAUAAAUAAAUAAUUACAUUAUAAGGAGACAACGGUCCAGCAACCCAAAGUUGACUGGGAGACGACGACCUAGACCUCUCAUGAACUCGUCACAGCAUCCUCCAUGCGCCUCAUCUUGUGGUACCUGUUCUUGACCUGUGGGGGGGUGUGAGACAGCAAGAGUGAGCUCACAUACGUUCAUCGCUCAACAAGUUGUGGGGAAUAAUGUGCAUGAACUCGCCAAAGGUGGGAGCUCACGUGAAGUGUAAGGCUUACCAAAGAGGAUGGUUAGAGUUGAGCAUUGCUUUUAAAGUUGGUCAAAAUUUUAUUAGCAGUUACUAAGUAUAAGUAAAUACCAACCCAAUUAAGAAAAGUAAUAACAUCACCUGCGAUGCAAUGCAUAUGACAAAUUGAAUUUAGUUCCAUAAAUUAAUCAUGUGAGGGUCCGAGCUGCUCAUGACCGUGAGCACGGCUAGUAUACCAGUUUUACACUCUGCAGAGGUUGCACAUCUUUACCCACAAGUCAUGUUACCCAUCUGCCAAGGGAUCGCGACUUCCCAUACACCUCUACCGAGGAGGCGAGGCAGGGUAACACUACGAGGCCUUUACAAAGUUCCACUAGCUUUAGAAAACCCGCUACAGUUUAUAGGAAGCUCCAAUGCAGGGUUCUUGCCUGACCGCCAUCGCAGCAAAAUCAACCAAGGACCUCCCUACACUGACCACUCCCCUACUGCCCUUGCCCCUUUCGGGUAAGGUAGUCCUCCACUAGCUUUCCUAAUUAAUCAGCCAAGGGCGUCCAUAAACCCUUGUGGUAGCACUGUUUUCCCGGGUGGUCGCUCCAUGUUCCAAUUAACAUAAUGAUCUUAUCAUGGACAGUGAUAAUAAAUAGAUAAUAAAAGUGUGAUCAUGAAUAAUGUAUCUUCAUACCCAAAACAAUAUAAAGCACUAGCAAGUACUACCCAAAAAGUUCAGUGGUAAACAAGGUAUAAAGAUAGACAAACUAGGGUAACCUAUUGGGUCCCAUCAAAAUUAACCUAUGCAGAUCAUUAUGAUUAAUCAGAACAUGGCUGGGUAAAAAGAAGUGAUCAAGGGCACAACUUGCCUGGCACUUGAGAUUCCAGUUACCAGGGUGAUUCUUCAAAUCCUCGUGACCGCACUGCUAGUCGUAGCAAUACAAACAGAUAUGGUAUAGAAAAAAUUAACAUCACACCAAUCAUAAGUACAAACUGAAUAAUAAUGAUCUACGCGAUGAUACGAGAUCGUAGAUUCAAGAACCACUAGAUUCGGAGCUACGGUUAUAAAGUUAUGAUUUUCUAAAUGUUUAGGAGUCGGAUACAAAAGAAAUCAAGUGCAUAAUUUUAAUUUAUGUUUCAUAGCAAAAUAAAGUUACCGGUUAUAAACAAUAUUAUUAUGGAUUUAUUGCAACUGGAAUGCAUUAUGUUGGAGUUAAAAUAUAUUAAUUAUGCAUUUACUAAAAUUUUUUUCUAGAUUUAUUUUCACAUUUAAACCAUUUUCUAGGUUUAUCCUAAAAGAAUAUCACAUUCUUGGGCUGCGGGUAAAACUACAGAGAAGUUCAGGACUAAAUUAAUUAAAUCUAGGACCUAAAUGUAUUAAUCUUUACGCCCUACAUGGACAGCGGGUUAGUUUCGCUAUUUUUCAUGGACUCUUGGAAAACCGGCUUGCUGCUAAAAUCACGAGGAUAUUCCAAGCCGUCCGAUUCACAACCAGCGAUCCGGAUUAGAAGACCCACGUGCCGAACUGGUACACAACGCCUGCCUUUGGAUCAUAGAUCGAUGGUCCGAAAUCCAUCGUGAACUACUGUAUUACUAGCCAUCCGAUAUAAAUCCCACGGUGACUGCCCCGCCUUCGACCUCACCACCAACAGCACGCAAACAAAACUCGCACUCCUUCUCUAUCGUCUGCUAAACCCAGAGCGACGGCUGACCCAGCGGCAUCCUGCCCGGCUACGGUACCGCGCCAGCGCUCCAGGCCAUUAGCCUAUGCUCGAAAAGCAGAGGAAGAUAUCCCGCCAGAGGAGAUGCUCACCGCUGAUGAAGCGAACUGGUUGACGACGAUGCGUAGGCCCACGUCGAGGUGCAGGCACAACGGUCACAGCGAGCUCCGGCACCUGUGGCCACCACCGGUGGAGGGAAGAUCCACGCGCCAGAUGCCUGAUCUCGUGCUGGCGCAUGCGCAAGCAGUCUCCCUCGCAAAUUCCCUAGAAGGCGAGCGAUGCGUGGAACUCAGCUCCUACCCGG
This 6790-nucleotide long non-coding RNA is filed under the name Zea mays. RNAcentral describes it as "long non-coding RNA (ZMAY_LNC001656)". The record is from RNAcentral. Lineage: Eukaryota; Viridiplantae; Streptophyta; Magnoliopsida; Poales; Poaceae.